UUGGAGGGCAAGUCUGGUGCCAGCAGCCGCGGUAAUUCCAGCUCCAAUAGCGUAUAUUAAAGUUGUUGCAGUUAAAAAGCUCGUAGUUGAAUUUCGGGAUUAGUACGUUGGUCGUGCCUUCGGUAUGUACUGAUGUUACUGAUUCCUCCCUUCUGACGAACCGUUAUGUCAUUCAUUUGGUGUGGCGGGAAAUCAGGACUGUUACUUUGAAAAAAUUAGAGUGUUUAAAGCAGGCUCGCGCUUGAAUACAUUAGCAUGGAAUAAUGAAAUAGGACGUUUGAUCCUAUUUUGUUGGUUUCUAGGAUCGACGUAAUGAUUAAUAGGGAUAGUUGGGGGCAUUAGUAUUCAAUUGUCAGAGGUGAAAUUCUUGGAUUUAUUGAAGACUAACUACUGCGAAAGCAUUUGCCAAGGAUGUUUUCAUUAAUCAAGAACGAAAGUUAGGGGAUCGAAGACGAUCAGAUACCGUCGUAGUCUUAACCAUAAACUAUGCCGACUAGGGAUCGGAUGAUGUUAAUUUUUUAAUGACUCA
RNAcentral lists this ribosomal RNA (529 nucleotides) under uncultured Glomeromycotina. Its description in RNAcentral is "SSU rRNA". It matches the Rfam family "Eukaryotic small subunit ribosomal RNA", at positions 548 to 1078 of the family's 1831-position model. The record is from RNAcentral. Lineage: Eukaryota; Fungi; Glomeromycota.